RNAcentral lists this ribosomal RNA (304 nucleotides) under uncultured bacterium. RNAcentral's name for it is "bacterial SSU rRNA". It matches the Rfam family "Bacterial small subunit ribosomal RNA", at positions 997 to 1301 of the family's 1533-position model. The record is from RNAcentral.
CUUUUAGAGAUAGAAGUGUUCUCUUCGGAGACAAAGUGACAGGUGGUGCAUGGUCGUCGUCAGCUCGUGUCGUGAGAUGUUGGGUUAAGUCCCGCAACGAGCGCUACCCUUAUUGUUAGUUGCCAGCAUUCAGAUGGGCACUCUAGCGAGACUGCCGGUGACAAACCGGAGGAAGGCGGGGACGACGUCAGAUCAUCAUGCCCCUUAUGACCUGGGCUACACACGUGCUACAAUGGCGUAUACAACGAGUUGCCAACCCGCGAGGGUGAGCUAAUCUCUUAAAGUACGUCUCAGUUCGGAUUGA